GAUGAACGCUGGCGGCGUGCCUAAUACAUGCCAGUCGAGCGAACAGACGAGGAGCUUGCUCCUCUGACGUUAGCGGCGGACGGGUGAGUAACACGUGGAUAACCUACCUAUAAGACUGGGAUAACUUCGGGGAACCGGAGCUAAUACCGGAUAAUAUAUUGAACCGCAUGGUUCAAUAGUGAAAGACGGUUUUGCUGUCACUUAUAGAUGGAUCCGCGCCGCAUUAGCUAGUUGGUAAGGUAACGGCUUACCAAGGCAACGAUGCGUAGCCGACCUGAGAGGGUGAUCGACCACACUGGAACUGAGACACGGUCCAGACUCCUACGGGAGGCAGCAGUAGGGAAUCUUCCGCAAUGGGCGAAAGCCUGACGGAGCAACGCCGCGUGAGUGAUGAAGGUCUUCGGAUCGUAAAACUCUGUUAUUAGGGAAGAACAAAUGUGUAAGUAACUAUGCACGUCUUGACGGUACCUAAUCAGAAAGCCACGGCUAACUACGUG
This 497-nucleotide ribosomal RNA is filed under the name uncultured bacterium. RNAcentral's name for it is "partial 16S ribosomal RNA". It matches the Rfam family "Bacterial small subunit ribosomal RNA", at positions 28 to 507 of the family's 1533-position model. The record is from RNAcentral.